Molecule: ribosomal RNA, 444 nt
Filed under: uncultured prokaryote
Description: bacterial SSU rRNA
Rfam family: Bacterial small subunit ribosomal RNA
Source: RNAcentral
UGAGGAAUAUUGGACAAUGGGCGGAAGCCUGAUCCAGCCAUGCCGCGUGCAGGAAGACGGCCCUAUGGGUUGUAAACUGCUUUUGUACGGGAAGAAUAAGGCCCUCGUGAGGGCCGAUGACGGUACCGUAAGAAUAAGCACCGGCUAACUCCGUGCCAGCAGCCGCGGUAAUACGGAGGGUGCGAGCGUUAUCCGGAAUCAUUGGGUUUAAAGGGUCCGCAGGCGGGCGCAUAAGUCAGUGGUGAAAGUCUGCAGCUCAACUGUAGAACUGCCAUUGAUACUGUGCGCCUUGAAUUAUUGUGAAGUGGUUAGAAUAAGUAGUGUAGCGGUGAAAUGCUUAGAUAUUACUUAGAAUACCGAUUGCGAAGGCAGAUCACUAACAAUAUAUUGACGCUGAUGGACGAAAGCGUAGGUAGCGAACGGGAUUAGAUACCCCCGUAGUCC